Molecule: long non-coding RNA, 668 nt
Organism: Paramisgurnus dabryanus
Lineage: Eukaryota; Metazoa; Chordata; Actinopteri; Cypriniformes; Cobitidae
Source: RefSeq, a predicted model, not a curated record
GGGAGGUCCUGCACUAUUGUCAACCACACACAAUGGCAAGAGGAGCCUGAGAUGUUUCUUUACAAAGCGACUCACUCGCUGCCGUCGAGCGCCAGGAGAAGAGAAUAAAGAUGUCGUUGAUGUACAAAGAGGUCACAUGUGAUGACUCAUGAGAGUUUGAGACAGCCUCUGUCAGCUUCUGGAGAAAAACGGCACCUUGUUCCUGACAGCUAGCGCUGAAGUGUUAACCAGAGCACACGUACACCAGCGUUCAAUCCCGCUCAAGGCCUGCAAGCCGUCUGGUCACUGGUGACCCUCUUACCCAAUUAAGAGGCCAGAGUGUUUACCACGUACCAGCACACCAUAAAUAUAUCAUGAGAACAUCCUUCAAUAAUUGACAUAAUGCAAGUGCUGGGAUUCCCGCUGCCAGUGGUUGGCAUCUGUGCGCACAGUAGCCUGAGGGACGGCCGGGCCGAGGGUCAUCUUGUUUUUUGGCGGGAGGUUCUGACGUGUUUUGUGUUGUGAAUGCCCGAGUCGAGGUGGUGGCGUGAUCCAGGGAUGAAAGAUGCCGCAGACGUCCCGCGGCCUGGGAGAAUGACUGGCAGAGGAAAGACGAAUGCUAUUCAUUUAAUGAUGCCCACCAGUCCGGUCCAAGCUGACUAACGUAUGCUGAGAGCAGAGGUGAAGGA